CGACAUCUGAUCCCCUCUUCUCUCAAAAGCUCUUAAGUCUUAACCCUAACUCACCCUCAUCACCGUUCCUCUUCCACCGUUCAUGGUCUUUCUCCACCACCAUCAGACCUCUAAUGGCCUCUCAUAUGUUGGUAUUGUCAUCCCUAAGGUCCUCGAGGGACCAAGGUCAGUUCACUUGCAUCUAUGGCCUUUUCUCACCUAUUUCAGGAUUUUCCGGUUCAAUUUCAAGUAAGAUCUUCCUAUGUUGCCUUAGAUCUAUGGAUUCCUAAGCCUACUUCUUCAUCUUUGUGCUUUUUUUCUCGAAAACCUUAUUUCUUCCUUCUGAACUUCUUUGAUCUGUACAGAUCUAAGAUGGUUUGGACCUAUUUCACAUGAAUUUUACAAGAACCGUCUGAUUUUCGAAUUAUUUUCCAUUUUUUUAAACUAAGGUUUCCCUAAUAUUUCCUUCUCCAAAAUGUUUGAUGAUUUUUGUGUUUAAUCUUCUAUUCCUUAUGCGUUUUAACUGAUUUCAUAUAGGUUUGCAUUAACCCUAACUAGUUUAUGCUAAAAACCCCAAAUUGUUUCGACAUUUUGUCUAGUUUCUGAGUUACUUGUGUACUGACUUUGGC
RNAcentral lists this long non-coding RNA (608 nucleotides) under Nicotiana benthamiana. Its description in RNAcentral is "long non-coding RNA (NBEN_LNC036702)". The record is from RNAcentral. Lineage: Eukaryota; Viridiplantae; Streptophyta; Magnoliopsida; Solanales; Solanaceae.